RNAcentral lists this ribosomal RNA (539 nucleotides) under uncultured bacterium. RNAcentral's name for it is "bacterial SSU rRNA". It matches the Rfam family "Bacterial small subunit ribosomal RNA", at positions 337 to 868 of the family's 1533-position model. The record is from RNAcentral.
UCCUACGGGAGGCAGCAGUGGGGAAUAUUGCACAAUGGGCGCAAGCCUGAUGCAGCCAUGCCGCGUGUGUGAAGAAGGCCUUCGGGUUGUAAAGCACUUUCAGUCAGGAGGAAAGGUUAGUAGUUAAUACCUGCUAGCUGUGACGUUACUGACAGAAGAAGCACCGGCUAACUCCGUGCCAGCAGCCGCGGUAAUACGGAGGGUGCGAGCGUUAAUCGGAAUUACUGGGCGUAAAGCGUACGCAGGCGGUUUGUUAAGCGAGAUGUGAAAGCCCCGGGCUCAACCUGGGAACUGCAUUUCGAACUGGCAAACUAGAGUGUGAUAGAGGGUGGUAGAAUUUCAGGUGUAGCGGUGAAAUGCGUAGAGAUCUGAAGGAAUACCGAUGGCGAAGGCAGCCACCUGGGUCAACACUGACGCUCAUGUACGAAAGCGUGGGGAGCAAACAGGAUUAGAUACCCUGGUAGUCCACGCCGUAAACGAUGUCUACUAGAAGCUCGGAACCUCGGUUCUGUUUUUCAAAGCUAACGCAAUUAAGUAGA